Molecule: ribosomal RNA, 474 nt
Filed under: uncultured bacterium
Lineage: Bacteria
Description: SSU rRNA
Rfam family: Bacterial small subunit ribosomal RNA
Source: RNAcentral
AUGACGAACGCUGGCGGCGUGCUUAACACAUGCAAGUCGAGCGGAAAGGCCCUUCGGGGUACUCGAGCGGCGAACGGGUGAGUAACACGUGAGUAACCUGCCCCUAGCUCUGGGAUAGCUCCGGGAAACCGGGAUUAAUACCAGAUACGACCACUUUAGACAUCUGUCGUGGUGGAAAGGAUUCCGGCUAGGGAUGGGCUCGCGGCCUAUCAGCUUGUUGGUGGGGUAACGGCCUACCAAGGCGACGACGGGUAGCCGGCCUGAGAGGGCGACCGGCCACACUGGGACUGAGACACGGCCCAGACUCCUACGGGAGGCAGCAGUGGGAAUAUUGCGCAAUGGGCGAAAAGCCUGACGCAGCGACGCCGCGUGGGGGAUGGAAGGCCUUCGGGUUGUAAACCCCUUCAGCAGGGACGAAGCGAAAGUGACGGUACCUGCAGAAGAAGCGCCGGCUAACUACGCGCCAGCAGCCGC